GGGUUGUGAGGUUAAGCGACUAAGCGUACACGGUGGAUGCCCUGGCAGUCAGAGGCGAUGAAGGACGUGCUAAUCUGCGAUAAGCGUCGGUAAGGUGAUAUGAACCGUUAUAACCGGCGAUUUCCGAAUGGGGAAACCCAGUGUGUUUCGACACACUAUCAUUAACUGAAUCCAUAGGUUAAUGAGGCGAACCGGGGGAACUGAAACAUCUAAGUACCCCGAGGAAAAGAAAUCAACCGAGAUUCCCCCAGUAGCGGCGAGCGAACGGGGAGGAGCCCAGAGCCUGAAUCAGUGUGUGUGUUAGUGGAAGCGUCUGGAAAGGCGCGCGAUACAGGGUGACAGCCCCGUACACAAAAAUGCACAUACUGUGAGCUCGAUGAGUAGGGCGGGACACGUGGUAUCCUGUCUGAAUAUGGGGGGACCAUCCUCCAAGGCUAAAUACUCCUGACUGACCGAUAGUGAACCAGUACCGUGAGGGAAAGGCGAAAAGAACCCCGGCGAGGGGAGUGAAAAAGAACCUGAAACCGUGUACGUACAAGCAGUGGGAGCCUCUUAAUGGGGUGACUGCGUACCUUUUGUAUAAUGGGUCAGCGACUUAUAUUCUGUAGCAAGGUUAACCGAAUAGGGGAGCCGAAGGGAAACCGAGUCUUAACUGGGCGUUAAGUUGCAGGGUAUAGACCCGAAACCCGGUGAUCUAGCCAUGGGCAGGUUGAAGGUUGGGUAACACUAACUGGAGGACCGAACCGACUAAUGUUGAAAAAUUAGCGGAUGACUUGUGGCUGGGGGUGAAAGGCCAAUCAAACCGGGAGAUAGCUGGUUCUCCCCGAAAGCUAUUUAGGUAGCGCCUCGUGAAUUCAUCUCCGGGGGUAGAGCACUGUUUCGGCAAGGGGGUCAUCCCGACUUACCAACCCGAUGCAAACUGCGAAUACCGGAGAAUGUUAUCACGGGAGACACACGGCGGGUGCUAACGUCCGUCGUGAAGAGGGAAACAACCCAGACCGCCAGCUAAGGUCCCAAAGUCAUGGUUAAGUGGGAAACGAUGUGGGAAGGCCCAGACAGCCAGGAUGUUGGCUUAGAAGCAGCCAUCAUUUAAAGAAAGCGUAAUAGCUCACUGGUCGAGUCGGCCUGCGCGGAAGAUGUAACGGGGCUAAACCAUGCACCGAAGCUGCGGCAGCGACGUUUAUGCGUUGUUGGGUAGGGGAGCGUUCUGUAAGCCUGUGAAGGUGUACUGUGAGGUAUGCUGGAGGUAUCAGAAGUGCGAAUGCUGACAUAAGUAACGAUAAAGCGGGUGAAAAGCCCGCUCGCCGGAAGACCAAGGGUUCCUGUCCAACGUUAAUCGGGGCAGGGUGAGUCGACCCCUAAGGCGAGGCCGAAAGGCGUAGUCGAUGGGAAACAGGUUAAUAUUCCUGUACUUGGUGUUACUGCGAAGGGGGGACGGAGAAGGCUAUGUUGGCCGGGCGACGGUUGUCCCGGUUUAAGCGUGUAGGCUGGUUUUCCAGGCAAAUCCGGAAAAUCAAGGCUGAGGCGUGAUGACGAGGCACUACGGUGCUGAAGCAACAAAUGCCCUGCUUCCAGGAAAAGCCUCUAAGCAUCAGGUAACAUCAAAUCGUACCCCAAACCGACACAGGUGGUCAGGUAGAGAAUACCAAGGCGCUUGAGAGAACUCGGGUGAAGGAACUAGGCAAAAUGGUGCCGUAACUUCGGGAGAAGGCACGCUGAUAUGUAGGUGAAGUCCCUCGCGGAUGGAGCUGAAAUCAGUCGAAGAUACCAGCUGGCUGCAACUGUUUAUUAAAAACACAGCACUGUGCAAACACGAAAGUGGACGUAUACGGUGUGACGCCUGCCCGGUGCCGGAAGGUUAAUUGAUGGGGUUAGCGGUAACGCGAAGCUCUUGAUCGAAGCCCCGGUAAACGGCGGCCGUAACUAUAACGGUCCUAAGGUAGCGAAAUUCCUUGUCGGGUAAGUUCCGACCUGCACGAAUGGCGUAAUGAUGGCCAGGCUGUCUCCACCCGAGACUCAGUGAAAUUGAACUCGCUGUGAAGAUGCAGUGUACCCGCGGCAAGACGGAAAGACCCCGUGAACCUUUACUAUAGCUUGACACUGAACAUUGAGCCUUGAUGUGUAGGAUAGGUGGGAGGCUUUGAAGUGUGGACGCCAGUCUGCAUGGAGCCGGCCUUGAAAUACCACCCUUUAAUGUUUGAUGUUCUAACGUUGGCCCCUUACCGGGGUUGCGGACAGUGUCUGGUGGGUAGUUUGACUGGGGCGGUCUCCUCCUAAAGAGUAACGGAGGAGCACGAAGGUUGGCUAAUCCUGGUCGGACAUCAGGAGGUUAGUGCAAUGGCAUAAGCCAGCUUGACUGCGAGCGUGACGGCGCGAGCAGGUGCGAAAGCAGGUCAUAGUGAUCCGGUGGUUCUGAAUGGAAGGGCCAUCGCUCAACGGAUAAAAGGUACUCCGGGGAUAACAGGCUGAUACCGCCCAAGAGUUCAUAUCGACGGCGGUGUUUGGCACCUCGAUGUCGGCUCAUCACAUCCUGGGGCUGAAGUAGGUCCCAAGGGUAUGGCUGUUCGCCAUUUAAAGUGGUACGCGAGCUGGGUUUAGAACGUCGUGAGACAGUUCGGUCCCUAUCUGCCGUGGGCGCUGGAGAACUGAGGGGGGCUGCUCCUAGUACGAGAGGACCGGAGUGGACGCAUCACUGGUGUUCGGGUUGUCAUGCCAAUGGCACUGCCCGGUAGCUAAAUGCGGAAGAGAUAAGUGCUGAAAGCAUCUAAGCACGAAACUUGCCCCGAGAUGAGUUCUCCCUGACUCUUUAAGGGUCCUGAAGGAACGUUGAAGACGACGACGUUGAUAGGCCGGGUGUGUAAGCGCAGCGAUGCGUUGAGCUAACCGGUACUAAUGAACCGUGA
RNAcentral lists this ribosomal RNA (2903 nucleotides) under Escherichia coli. RNAcentral's name for it is "partial 23S ribosomal RNA". It matches the Rfam family "Bacterial large subunit ribosomal RNA". The record is from RNAcentral. Lineage: Bacteria; Pseudomonadati; Pseudomonadota; Gammaproteobacteria; Enterobacterales; Enterobacteriaceae.